This 343-nucleotide long non-coding RNA is filed under the name Volvox carteri. Its description in RNAcentral is "long non-coding RNA (VCAR_LNC002193)". Lineage: Eukaryota; Viridiplantae; Chlorophyta; Chlorophyceae; Chlamydomonadales; Volvocaceae. The record is from RNAcentral.
GCUCCUCCCAGCUGCUGGACAUGGCUGUAGCUGUAGCUGUAGCUGUAGCUGUCGCUGUAGCUGUAGGUGUAGCUGUAGCUGUCUUUCAGUGUCCCGGGGGUUUAGCUACCGGCUUAUUUUCGGGUUAUUACGUGCUCUAUUCAGGAGCUCGCGCUCUUCUCCCCCUCCUGGUGGGCCUGAUGUGGUGGCUGUAGCGCCUGUAGCUGCGUAACUGCAGAGCUAGGGUGAGAGUAGAUAAGUGUUGGCAACAGCUGAUGCAAGGCUGGGUGUGGUAGCUGUAGCCUAAGGCGCCGUGGCGGGCGGCCUGUUAUUGCCGCUUUGACAGUUCCUUUUCCUGUUCCUG